RNAcentral lists this long non-coding RNA (230 nucleotides) under Mytilus galloprovincialis (Mediterranean mussel). Lineage: Eukaryota; Metazoa; Mollusca; Bivalvia; Mytilida; Mytilidae. The record is from RNAcentral.
UUCGGCGAUCAAAUAUUUCAUACAAUUGUUCUUUGACAUCUUAACCAACAGCACAGGGAAUAAUAAACUAUAGAAGGAUUUCUAUCGAGCACUACUUCCUAUGUGCAACUUCAAAACUUUUGGGAAAAUCGACGACCAUUUAACGUUUUUAUGGUAAUAUUUUUUAUAUUCCAGAAUAAAAAGUAUGAAAAAAGUGUCCAAUUAGUUAUAAAUAACGUAAUAGCCAGCCA